RNAcentral lists this ribosomal RNA (497 nucleotides) under uncultured bacterium. Its description in RNAcentral is "partial 16S ribosomal RNA". It matches the Rfam family "Bacterial small subunit ribosomal RNA", at positions 28 to 507 of the family's 1533-position model. The record is from RNAcentral.
GAUGAACGCUGGCGGCGUGCCUAAUACAUGCAAGUCGAGCGAACGGACGAGAAGCUUGCUUCUCUGAUGUUAGCGGCGGACGGGUGAGUAACACGUGGAUAACCUACCUAUAAGACUGGGAUAACUUCGGGAAGCCGUAGCUAAUACCGGAUAAUAUUUUGAACCGCAUGGUUCAAAGGUGAAAGACGGUCUUGCUGUCACUUAUAGAUGGAUCCGCGCUGCAUUAGCUAGUUGGUAAGGUAACGGCUUACCAAGGCAACGAUGCAUAGCCGACCUGAGAGGGUGAUCGGCCACACUGGAACUGAGACACGGUCCAGACUCCUACGGGAGGCAGCAGUAGGGAAUCUUCCGCAAUGGGCGAAAGCCUGACGGAGCAACGCCGCGUGAGUGAUGAAGGUCUUCGGAUCGUAAAACUCUGUUAUUAGGGAAGAACAUAUGUGUAAGUAACUGUGCACAUCUUGACGGUACCUAAUCAGAAAGCCACGGCUAACUACGUG